AGAAUCAACGCUGGCGGCGUGCCUAACACAUGCAAGUCGCACGAGAAAGUGGAGCAAUCCAUGAGUAAAGUGGCGCACGGGUGAGUAACACGUGAAUCAUCUACCUCCGAGUGGGGAAUAACCUAGAGAAAUCUGGGCUAAUACCGCAUAACACUUACGAGUCAAAGCAGCAAUGCGCUUGGAGAGGAGUUCGCGGCCGAUUAGCUAGUUGGCGGGGUAAUGGCCCACCAAGGCGAUGAUCGGUAUCCGGCCUGAGAGGGCGCACGGACACACUGGAACUGAAACACGGUCCAGACUCCUACGGGAGGCAGCAGUGGGGAAUUUUGCGCAAUGGGGGAAACCCUGACGCAGCAACGCCGCGUGGAGGAUGAAAUCCCUUGGGAUGUAAACUCCUUUCGAUAGGGAAGAUUAUGACGGUACCUAUAGAAGAAGCCCCGGCUAACUUCGUGCCAGCAGCCGCGGUAAUACGAGGGGGGCGAGCGUUGUUCGGAAUUAUUGGGCGUAAAGGGUGCGUAGGCGGUUUGGCAAGUCUUAUGUGAAAUCUAUGGGCUCAACCCAUAGUCUGCAUGAGAAACUGCCGGGCUUGAGUAUGGGAGAGGUGAGUGGAAUUUCCGGUGUAGCGGUGAAAUGCGUAGAUAUCGGAAGGAACACCUGUGGCGAAAGCGGCUCACUGGACCAUAACUGACGCUGAGGCACGAAAGCUAGGGGAGCAAACAGGAUUAGAUACCCUGGUAGUCCUAGCCCUAAACGAUGAUUGCUUGAUGUGGCAGGUACCCAAUCCUGCCGUGUCGAAGCUAACGCGAUAAGCAAUCCGCCUGGGGAGUACGGUCGCAAGGCUGAA
This 841-nucleotide ribosomal RNA is filed under the name uncultured bacterium. RNAcentral describes it as "bacterial SSU rRNA". It matches the Rfam family "Bacterial small subunit ribosomal RNA", at positions 26 to 898 of the family's 1533-position model. The record is from RNAcentral.